UACGAAGGGAGCUAGCGUUGUUCGGAAUUACUGGGCGUAAAGGGCGCGUAGGCGGCUUAACAAGUCAGAGGUGAAAUCCCGGGGCUCAACCUCGGAAUUGCCUUUGAAACUGUUAAGCUAGAGUUUUGUAGGGGAUAGUGGAAUUUCUAGUGUAGGGGUGAAAUCCGUAGAUAUUAGAAGGAACACCAGUGGCGAAGGCGGCUAUCUGGACAAAUACUGACGCUGAGGCGCGAAAGUGUGGGGAGCAAACAGG
This 253-nucleotide ribosomal RNA is filed under the name uncultured bacterium. Its description in RNAcentral is "partial 16S ribosomal RNA". It matches the Rfam family "Bacterial small subunit ribosomal RNA", at positions 524 to 776 of the family's 1533-position model. The record is from RNAcentral.